This 446-nucleotide ribosomal RNA is filed under the name uncultured bacterium. RNAcentral describes it as "bacterial SSU rRNA". It matches the Rfam family "Bacterial small subunit ribosomal RNA", at positions 330 to 793 of the family's 1533-position model. The record is from RNAcentral.
GCCAGACUCCUACGGGAGGCAGCAGUGGGGAAUAUUGCACAAUGGGCGAAAGCCUGAUGCAGCGACGCCGCGUGAGUGAAGAAGUAUUUCGGUAUGUAAAGCUCUAUCAGCAGGGAAGAAAAUGACGGUACCUGACUAAGAAGCCCCGGCUAACUACGUGCCAGCAGCCGCGGUAAUACGUAGGGGGCAAGCGUUAUCCGGAUUUACUGGGUGUAAAGGGAGCGUAGACGGGCCAGCAAGUCUGAUGUGAAAACCCGGGGCCCAACCCCGGGAGUGCAUUGGAAACUGCGGGCCUGGAGUGCCGGAGAGGUAAGCGGAAUUCCUAGUGUAGCGGUGAAAUGCGUAGAUAUUAGGAGGAACACCAGUGGCGAAGGCGGCUUACUGGACGGUAACUGACGUUGAGGCUCGAAAGCGUGGGGAGCAAACAGGAUUAGAUACCCUAGUAA